Molecule: long non-coding RNA, 183 nt
Organism: Felis catus (domestic cat)
Lineage: Eukaryota; Metazoa; Chordata; Mammalia; Carnivora; Felidae
Exons: 3
Source: RefSeq, a predicted model, not a curated record
GAAAGAUAUGGGCAGGAAAGGCUAAAGUCACAGGGCGAUGCUGCUCCUCACUGCUCACCUUCAACACAGGACACUGAUAAAUUCUACCAAAGCUCAAACCAGCAGUCUCAAGAUGAAUACUCAGUAGUCUCCAUGCCCAAUGUGGGGCUAGAACUCACAACCCUGAGAUCAAGAGUUACCAUC